This 490-nucleotide ribosomal RNA is filed under the name uncultured bacterium. RNAcentral describes it as "partial 16S ribosomal RNA". It matches the Rfam family "Bacterial small subunit ribosomal RNA", at positions 30 to 507 of the family's 1533-position model. The record is from RNAcentral.
AUUGAACGCUGGCGGCAGGCCUAACACAUGCAAGUCGAGCGGUAGCGCGGACUACGGGCUGGCGUUGCUCGCGAAACGCGUGAGUAAUGGUUAGGUAUAUGCCAAGUCGUGGGGGAUGAGAAUACGUACGAAAUGCGAUAACUGCUAACGCCUAGCGUGGCAAAGCCAGGGAUCGCGACCUUCGGCCCUCUUGCCAUGGGCUGUGCCCAGAUGGGAUUAGCUAGUUGGUGGGGUAAAGGCUCACCAAGGCGACGAUCCGUAGCUGGUCUGAGAGGAUGAUCAGCCACACUGGAACUGAGACACGGCCCAGACUCCUACGGGAGGCAGCAGUGGGGAAUUUUGGACAAUGGGGGCAACCCUGAUCCAGCCAUGCCGCGUGAGUGAAGAAGGCCUUCGGGUUGUAAAGCUCUUUCAGCAGGAACGAAGCGGUGAGCUCUAACAUAGUCCGCUAAUGACGUUACCUGAAGAAGAAGCACCGGCUAACUACGUG